This 473-nucleotide ribosomal RNA is filed under the name uncultured Acidovorax sp. RNAcentral describes it as "bacterial SSU rRNA". It matches the Rfam family "Bacterial small subunit ribosomal RNA", at positions 907 to 1382 of the family's 1533-position model. The record is from RNAcentral. Lineage: Bacteria; Pseudomonadati; Pseudomonadota; Betaproteobacteria; Burkholderiales; Comamonadaceae.
UGAAUUGACGGGACCGCACAAGCGGUGGAUGAUGUGGUUUAAUUCGAUGCAACGCGAAAAACCUUACCACCUUUGACAUGUACGGAAUCCUUUAGAGAUAGAGGAGUGCUCGAAAGAGAACCGUAACACAGGUGCUGCAUGGCUGUCGUCAGCUCGUGUCGUGAGAUGUUGGGUUAAGUCCCGCAACGAGCGCAACCCUUGUCAUUAGUUGCUACAUUCAGUUGGGCACUCUAAUGAGACUGCCGGUGACAAACCGGAGGAAGGUGGGGAUGACGUCAAGUCCUCAUGGCCCUUAUAGGUGGGGCUACACACGUCAUACAAUGGAUGGUACAAAGGGUCGCCAACCCGCGAGGGGGAGCCAAUCCCAUAAAGCCAUUCGUAGUCCGGAUCGCAGUCUGCAACUCGACUGCGUGAAGUCGGAAUCGCUAGUAAUCGUGGAUCAGAAUGUCACGGUGAAUACGUUCCCGGGUCUU